CCUACGGGUGGCAGCAGUGGGGGAUAUUGCACAAUGGGGGAAACCCUGAUGCAGCGACGCCGCGUGGGUGAAGGAGUAUUUCGGUAUGUAAAGCCCUAUCAGCAGGGAAGAUAGUAACGGUGCCUGACUACGAAGCCCCGGCUAACAACGUGCCAGCAGCCGCGGUAAUACGGAGGGGGCAAGCGUUAUCCGGAUUUACUGGGUGUAAAGGGAGCGUAGACGGCAGCGCAAGUCUGGAGUGAAAGGACGGGGCCCAACCCCAUGACUGCUCUGGAAACUGUGCGGCUAGAGUGCAGGAGGGGUAAGCGGAAUUCCUAGUGUAGCGGUGAAAUGCGUAGAUAUUAGGAGGAACACCAGUGGCGAAGGCGGCUUACUGGACGGUAACUGACGUUGAGGCUCGAAAGCGUGGGGAGCAAACAGGAUUAGAUACCCCAGUAGUC
This 440-nucleotide ribosomal RNA is filed under the name uncultured bacterium. Its description in RNAcentral is "partial 16S ribosomal RNA". It matches the Rfam family "Bacterial small subunit ribosomal RNA", at positions 338 to 795 of the family's 1533-position model. The record is from RNAcentral.